Non-coding RNA from Paramuricea clavata, 1374 nucleotides. Lineage: Eukaryota; Metazoa; Cnidaria; Anthozoa; Malacalcyonacea; Plexauridae. The record is from the annotation of a GenBank genome assembly.
UUUUUGUAUAAUGAAAGUUUUUAGCGGCGCAAUACUGCAUGCAAAAUUUGAACAUAGGUCACCAGACAAAAUAAAGAGAUAUAGCGCAUUGUUUUUCUAAAAUGGAAAAUUUUAAUGACGUCAGCAAUUGACAUAAAACGCUAUAGAACACGCGCAAUGUCAUGAUAGGGCGCGAGCAACUGCUCACGUCAGAUUAUUUUGGAAGUUCUUUCAUUUUGUUAAUCAGUUUCCGCGACCUGCACGUAAAAAUGGUCACCCGGUUCUGAGUUUGCGAUUCUCGAGCAGGGUUUUUGUGAUAACUAUAUCGAGCUACUUUAAUUGUCUUCCACAUUUCUUUUGGAUUUUUAGCAGUAUUAUUAAUAUUAUGCUCGUAAAAUAUCCGGUUUUAGUCUUUCCAAUCAAUCUAUUUAAAUAAUUUCGAGCUCUUUUGUGAGCAUCAUGUAAUUUGGAAGAUCCAGUUUUGACCGAAGAAAAUGCCUGUAUUAGAUACGUCUCUUAAUAUUUUCUGUAAUCCAGGGCGCAUACUCACUUCUUACUUUGUGAGUCAUUUGAAGCGCAUGCAUAUCAGAAAUUAGUAGGAAUUUUGUUUUCCAUUCCUGCCAUAGUAAAUUAGGAUCAGGGGAUUGGCUUGAUUGCGUUUGAAAUGUAGGUCAUAACAAAAUGCAUCUUUGUUAUAAUAUAUUUUUGAAUUGCUGUGUACUUAUGAGUUUGGGCUCCUUACGCGGUAUUGAAAUUUUCCGGCAUAUAUAAAUUGUUUCGUUUCGUUUCAUUUCAUUUCAUUUCAUUUCACUUCACUUCAUUUCAUAUCAUAUCAUUUCAUUUCAUUUCAUUUCAUUUCAUUUCAUUUUAUUUUAUUUUAUUUUACUUUAUUUUAUUUUAUUUUAUUUUAUUUAUUUUUUUUACAAGAUUCGGCAAACAUAACAGACAUAAAUAAGAUUAACACUUUACAAAAUUUGCAUACAAUUCGGGCAGGGACUAGCCACAGAAAUAAUCCCCAAUUAUGGGGUCCCUUACAAUAAGUUACAAUAUAUAACAUUGAAACAAAUUAUGCUAAAAUGUCGACAACAUGUCCUCACUAAUAAGCUAUCAAGAGACCGAGUUAAGUGGCAUUUGACGCACAUUGACUUAAAUGUUCUGGGAUUGUCCGGGUUGUAUAUUUGUUCUAAAAGGCUUAAGUAGUAAUUGAAUAAAGGAGUUUUAAAGGACAUUGGCAACCAAAAUUUUUAUUACUUAUAUCUAUUAGGUAUACUUACGGAAUAUUUAAUUUCAUAUUUUUGCCGGUUUGUCGCGUUUAGUUGUUGAGAAAAUGUAAUAAAAAGUUCAACAGUUGUCCGCCAUUUUGAAAAUAAACGUGUAUGCUAAUUUAAGGAUCGG